AGUGAACGCUGGCGGUAGGCCUAACACAUGCAAGUCGAACGGCAGCACAGGAGAGCUUGCUCUCUGGGUGGCGAGUGGCGGACGGGUGAGGAAUACAUCGGAAUCUACUCUGUCGUGGGGGAUAACGUAGGGAAACUUACGCUAAUACCGCAUACGACCUACGGGUGAAAGCAGGGGAUCUUCGGACCUUGCGCGAUUGAAUGAGCCGAUGUCGGAUUAGCUAGUUGGCGGGGUAAAGGCCCACCAAGGCGACGAUCCGUAGCUGGUCUGAGAGGAUGAUCAGCCACACUGGAACUGAGACACGGUCCAGACUCCUACGGGGGGCAGCAGUGGGGAAUAUUGGACAAGGGGCGCAAGCCUGAUCCAGCCAUACCGCGUGGGUGAAGAAGGCCUUCGGGUUGUAAAGCCCUUUUGUUGGGAAAGAAAUCCAGCUGGCUAAUACCCGGUUGGGAUGACGGUACCCAAAGAAUAAGCACCGGCUAACUUCGUGCCAGCAGCCGCCGUAA
RNAcentral lists this ribosomal RNA (506 nucleotides) under uncultured bacterium. RNAcentral's name for it is "partial 16S ribosomal RNA". It matches the Rfam family "Bacterial small subunit ribosomal RNA", at positions 29 to 523 of the family's 1533-position model. The record is from RNAcentral.